Molecule: ribosomal RNA, 447 nt
Filed under: uncultured crenarchaeote
Lineage: Archaea; Thermoproteati; Thermoproteota
Description: partial 16S ribosomal RNA
Rfam family: Archaeal small subunit ribosomal RNA
Source: RNAcentral
GUGCAGCAGUCGCGCAAACUUUGCAAUACACGAAAGUGUGACAGGGCUAUCCCGAGUGCCGUCCGCUGAGGGUGGCUUUUACCCAGUCUAUAAAGCUGGGAGAAUAAGGAGAGGGCAAGUCUGGUGUCAGCCGCCGCGGUAAUACCAGCUCUCCGAGUGGUGUGGAUGUUUAUUGGGCCUAAAGCAUCCGUAGCUUGCCAAGCAAGUCCCCUGUUAAACCCACCGAAUUAAUCGUUGGAUUGCGGGGGAUACUGCUCGGCUAGGGGACGGGAGAGGCCGACGGUAUUUCCGGGGUAGGGGUGAAAUCCUAUAAUCCCGGGAGGACCACCAGUGGCGAAGGCGGCCGACUAAAACGCGCCCGACGGUGAGGGACGAAAGCUGGGGGAGCGAACGGGAUUAGAUAUGAAGUUGAGUUUUUGCCAGCUUCACUAGAUACCCCGGUAGUCC